UGAAUAUGGGGGGACCAUCCUCCAAGGCUAAAUACUCCUGACUGACCGAUAGUGAACCAGUACCGUGAGGGAAAGGCGAAAAGAACCCCUGUGAGGGGAGUGAAAUAGAACCUGAAACCGUGUACGUACAAGCAGUAGGAGCACCUUCGUGGUGUGACUGCGUACCUUUUGUAUAAUGGGUCAGCGACUUAUAUUCAGUGGCAAGGUUAACCGUAUAGGGGAGCCGUAGCGAAAGCGAGUCUUAACUGGGCGCUCAGUCUCUGGAUAUAGACCCGAAACCGGGUGAUCUAGCCAUGGGCAGGUUGAAGGUUGAGUAACAUCAACUGGAGGACCGAACCGACUAAUGUUGAAAAAUUAGCGGAUGACUUGUGGCUAGGGGUGAAAGGCCAAUCAAACUCGGAGAUAGCUGGUUCUCCCCGAAAGCUAUUUAGGUAGCGCCUCGGACGAAUACUACUGGGGGUAGAGCACUGUUAAGGCUAGGGGGUCAUCCCGACUUACCAACCCUUUGCAAACUCCGAAUACCAGUAAGUACUAUCCGGGAGACACACGGCGGGUGCUAACGUCCGUCGUGGAGAGGGAAACAACCCAGACCGCCAGCUAAGGUCCCAAAGUAUUGCUAAGUGGGAAACGAUGUGGGAAGGCUCAGACAGCUAGGAUGUUGGCUUAGAAGCAGCCAUCAUUUAAAGAAAGCGUAAUAGCUCACUAGUCGAGUCGGCCUGCGCGGAAGAUGUAACGGGGCUAAGCA
This 745-nucleotide ribosomal RNA is filed under the name Vibrio cholerae. Its description in RNAcentral is "partial 23S ribosomal RNA". It matches the Rfam family "Bacterial large subunit ribosomal RNA", at positions 439 to 1188 of the family's 2925-position model. Lineage: Bacteria; Pseudomonadati; Pseudomonadota; Gammaproteobacteria; Vibrionales; Vibrionaceae. The record is from RNAcentral. RNAcentral also lists the same sequence under 2 other names.